ACCUGCCUCAUACUCGGGGAUAGCCUUUCGAAAGAAAGAUUAAUAUCCGAUAGCAUAUAUUUCCCGCAUGGGUUUUAUAUUAAAGAAAUUCGGUAUGAGAUGGGGAUGCGUUCCAUUAGUUUGGUGGCGGCGUAACGGCCCACCAAGACUACGAUGGAUAGGGGUUCUGAGAGGAAGGUCCCCCACAUUGGAACUGAGACACGGUCCAAACUCCUACGGGAGGCAGCAGUGAGGAAUAUUGGUCAAUGGACGCGAGUCUGAACCAGCCAAGUAGCGUGAAGGAUGACUGCCCUAUGGGUUGUAAACUUCUUUUAUAUGGGAAUAAAGUGGUCCACGUGUGGAUUUUUGUAUGUACCAUAUGAAUAAGGAUCGGCUAACUCCGUGCCAGCAGCCGCGGUAAUACGGAGGAUCCGAGCGUUAUCCGGAUUUAUUGGGUUUAAAGGGAGCGUAGGCGGAUUGUUAAGUCAGUUGUGAAAGUUUGCGGCUCAACCGUAAAAUUGCAGUUGAUACUGGCAGUCUUGAGUGCAGUAGAGGUGGGCGGAAUUCGUGGUGUAGCGGUGAAAUGCUUAGAUAUCACGAAGAACUCCGAUUGCGAAGGCAGCUCACUGGAGUGUAACUGACGCUGAUGCU
This 630-nucleotide ribosomal RNA is filed under the name uncultured Bacteroidales bacterium. RNAcentral describes it as "bacterial SSU rRNA". It matches the Rfam family "Bacterial small subunit ribosomal RNA", at positions 124 to 753 of the family's 1533-position model. Lineage: Bacteria; Pseudomonadati; Bacteroidota; Bacteroidia; Bacteroidales. The record is from RNAcentral.